RNAcentral lists this small RNA (910 nucleotides) under uncultured Cryptococcus. RNAcentral describes it as "eukaryotic LSU rRNA". The stretch from base 627 to 910 matches the Rfam family "Eukaryotic large subunit ribosomal RNA", at positions 1 to 281 of the family's 3401-position model. The record is from RNAcentral. Lineage: Eukaryota; Fungi; Basidiomycota; Tremellomycetes.
CUUGGUCAUUUAGAGGAAGUAAAAGUCGUAACAAGGUUUCCGUAGGUGAACCUGCGGAAGGAUCAUUAGUGAAUUGAAUAUGUUAGCGGACCUCUUCGGAGUCCCUAGCAUCAAAUCAUAUCCAUAGCACCUGUGAACUGUAAGGCUGUCUUGAAAACGAAAGUGAUUAGAGCGCCUGCCCAUUUUAUACAAACAUUAAAGUAACAAACGUAGUCUUAUUAUAAUCUAAUAAAACUUUCAACAACGGAUCUCUUGGCUCUCGCAUCGAUGAAGAACGCAGCGAAAUGCGAUAAGUAAUGUGAAUUGCAGAAUUCAGUGAAUCAUCGAAUCUUUGAACGCACCUUGCGCUCUUUGGUAUUCCGAAGAGCAUGCCUGUUUGAGUGUCAUGAAAAUAUCAACCUUGACUUGGGUUUAGUGCUCUUGUCUUGGCUUGGAUUUGGCUGUUUGCCGCUCGAAAGAGUCGGCUCAGCUUAAAAGUAUUAGCUGGAUCUGUCUUUGAGACUUGGUUUGACUUGGCGUAAUAAGUUAUUUCGCUGAGGACAAUCUUCGGAUUGGCCGAGUUUCUGGGACGUUUGUCCGCUUUCUAAUACAAGUUCUAGCUUGCUAGGCAUGACUUUUUUAUUAUCUGGCCUCAAAUCAGGUAGGACUACCCGCUGAACUUAAGCAUAUCAAUAAGCGGAGGAAAAGAAACUAACAAGGAUUCCCCUAGUAACGGCGAGUGAAGCGGAAGAGCUCAAUUUGAAAUCUGGCAGCCUCAGGUUGUCCGAGUUGUAAUCUAUAGAGGCGUUUUCCGUGUCGGACUGUGUCCAAGUCCCUUGGAACAGGGUAUCAAAGAGGGUGACAAUCCCGUACUUGACACAACCACCGGUGCUAUGUGAUACGCUUUCUACGAGUCGAGUUGUUUGGGAAU